This 148-nucleotide non-coding RNA is filed under the name Pan troglodytes (chimpanzee). Lineage: Eukaryota; Metazoa; Chordata; Mammalia; Primates; Hominidae. The record is from Rfam by way of RNAcentral.
GCUGGGCGUGGUAGUGCGUGCCUGUAAUCCCAGCUACUAGGGAGGCUGAGGCAGGAGAAUCACUUGAACCCAGGAGACGGAGGUUGCAGUGAGCUGAGAUCCUACCACUGCACUCCAGCCUGGGUGACAGAGUGAGACUCUGUCUCAA